RNAcentral lists this long non-coding RNA (1248 nucleotides) under Phaseolus vulgaris (common bean). Its description in RNAcentral is "long non-coding RNA (PVUL_LNC005027)". The record is from RNAcentral. Lineage: Eukaryota; Viridiplantae; Streptophyta; Magnoliopsida; Fabales; Fabaceae.
UAAUAUAUAUGCUCUAAAGAAAAAUGGGAGAUCGGGCAUAAUAAAUGUAAUUAAAAGCCUACAUUUUAUCUACAAAUUCUAAGAUUUGUCGUAACUCAUAAUUUAGGUUUACUUGAAAUGCAGAUUAAAAGAUCGAUCUUCAUCUUUCUGAUAUCACACUCAAUAUAAACAUAUUAGUGGUAUGUUUGUACUAGUGUUACACACACCGUUGUGACACUAUUAAAUGAAUAUCAUGUAAUAGAUUUCAACGUUAAUUUUUUAUUAUUUUUUGUAAACUUAACCUUCACAAUUAGAUGAAGCCCUAAUAGUAUUCGAAACACUCAAAUUUCUCUCUGCACCUCAUAAUUUCCAUGUGUUCUUCAUGAGCGGUUAAAUGACACAAAUAUCAUUAAUGUAUAAUAUAUAUUUUUAAUCUAUUUUUUCUUUCUUUUCCCUUCUUAACUUUGUCUUUUCCCUUUUAUGUGGUCGUUGUUCUUUCCUCCAUGCCAGUGUUGCAAACCCAGUAUUACCACACAUAUUCUCGCUAUUAGGAAUUGUCUCCACCACUCAAUUCCCUGCCGGUGUUAUCAUAAAGGAAUAAGGUUUGUUUUCAAAAACUUCCUUUGCUGAUGUGUUAGUUAUAUUCUCGGAUGACUAUUCCAAAAAAAAAAAUUAAUUAUUUGUUAUUGUUGUGCAAUAUCAAUUAUAGAUAACUUACAAUGGAUUGGUAUCUACUUUAUAGAGAAGUGGCACAAGAUACCAAUAGUUUCUAUUUUCUUAUAGUUGAAAUGAUGAUCACACUGAUGAUGUUUCGACACUGUUUCAUAUUCCUAUUGUGGGAUAGUUCUACAUAUACUUCACGUUGGAUGCGACUAUAAUUACAACAAUAUUGGUUGAAUUGCUAGGCGUGCACAUAGGUGAUGUUAUGAUAAAGAUGAGACAUUGUUAUGGUGCACACAAGGUCUUGUUUGGCUUUGUAAGGUUAUAAGGAGUGUUGUGUUCACCAUAGAUGAGAUUGUAAUGGCUCAUUUUUGCAUCUUACGAGAUGUACAAUUUUUGUUAACAAAAAGUGUAACAUAAAUUAGUGUGUCAUACUUGGGUAUCUUUAGUGAUUUAUAGAUGUGUGAAGAAUAUUCCUGGGGAGUUGACGCAUUGAAACACAUGUAUGAUUGACUAAGAGAUACUAAUUUUACCAGUAUGUAACAUUUUUACAAGUAAAUAAAUUAUUAAUUUCUUAAAGUUACAUUUGUUUUCAUGUCCUUUUUGUAA